Molecule: ribosomal RNA, 390 nt
Filed under: Bachia guianensis
Lineage: Eukaryota; Metazoa; Chordata; Lepidosauria; Squamata; Gymnophthalmidae
Description: partial 12S ribosomal RNA
Rfam family: Bacterial small subunit ribosomal RNA
Source: RNAcentral
ACCCCACUAUGCUAAGGCCUAAACAAGACCACCUUGUCCGCCAGAAGAUUACGAGCGAAAGCUUAAAACUCAAAAGACUUGACGGUGUUCCAACCUACCUAGAGGAGCCUGUUCCAUAAUCGACAACCCACGAUAAACCUAACCCACCCUUGAAUGAACCAGCCUAUAUACCGCCGUCGCCAGCUUACCUUUCAAAAGAAUCAAAGUAAGCUUAAUAGCCCACACUAAAAAGUCAGGUCAAGGUGUAGCUAAUGGGUGGGAGGCAAUGGGCUACAUUCUCUACACUAGAUCAAACAAAUUAAUAUAUGAAAUAAAUAUAUGAAGGCGGAUUUAGAAGUAAGUUAAACAAGAAUAUUUAACUAAAUUAAGCUCUGGAACAUGUACACACCG